GACGUAGGGCGCGAGCGUUGUCCGGAUUUAUUGGGCGUAAAGAGCUCGUAGGCGGCUUGUCGCGUCGACUGUGAAAACCCGAGGCUCAACUUCGGGCUUGCAGUCGAUACGGGCAGGCUAGAGUUCGGUAGGGGAGACUGGAAUUCCUGGUGUAGCGGUGAAAUGCGCAGAUAUCAGGAGGAACACCGAUGGCGAAGGCAGCUCGCUGGGACGGUACUGACGCUGAGGCGCGAAAGCGUGGGGAGCGAACAGG
Molecule: ribosomal RNA, 253 nt
Filed under: uncultured bacterium
Lineage: Bacteria
Description: partial 16S ribosomal RNA
Rfam family: Bacterial small subunit ribosomal RNA
Source: RNAcentral